This 72-nucleotide transfer RNA is filed under the name Caudoviricetes sp. Its description in RNAcentral is "tRNA-OTHER". It matches the Rfam family "tRNA". From Rfam's summary of the family: Transfer RNA (tRNA) molecules are approximately 80 nucleotides in length. Their secondary structure includes four short double-helical elements and three loops (D, anti-codon, and T loops). The record is from RNAcentral. Lineage: Duplodnaviria; Heunggongvirae; Uroviricota; Caudoviricetes.
GCAGACGUAGCUCAAUCGGUAGAGCACCGCGCCAGGAGGUAGAUGCAGGUUCAAACCCUGCCGUCUGCACCA